This 77-nucleotide transfer RNA is filed under the name Molorchus minor. RNAcentral describes it as "tRNA-OTHER". It matches the Rfam family "tRNA". Rfam says of the family: Transfer RNA (tRNA) molecules are approximately 80 nucleotides in length. Lineage: Eukaryota; Metazoa; Arthropoda; Insecta; Coleoptera; Cerambycidae. The record is from RNAcentral.
ACUGGCCCAUUAGCUCAGUUGGUUAGAGCGUCGUGCUAAUAACGCGAAGGUCGCGGGUUCGAUACCCUCAUCCAACU